This 2718-nucleotide long non-coding RNA is filed under the name Sus scrofa (pig). RNAcentral describes it as "lncRNA (ENSSSCG00025045748.1)". Lineage: Eukaryota; Metazoa; Chordata; Mammalia; Artiodactyla; Suidae. The record is from RNAcentral.
AGACAACACUGCACACUCAGAGGCAGAGCAUGGCCAGGAGGAAGCCAGACUGUUGUGGCUGGGGCAAGGUUGCAGGUUGGGAAGGAAGCGGUCCUAAGUGGAGCAGCUUCCAUGGACCCCUGAUCACUACUUGAGGAGAAUUUUCCUGUGGAUUCAACUGACUAGCUAUUGUGAUGUAAGCAGGUAAAAAAAAAAAACAAAAACCAUUUAUCAUGUUAUGCCAAUGAGAUUUGAGAUUUUGUUGUCAGCUACCCUUAAUUACCCUAAAACAGCAAUGCUUCUCUCCCCCUCUCUCUCUUUCUCUCUUCUUAAUCAGUCUUUCUGGAGGUUUAUAUACUUCAGAAGUCUUUAGAAAAGAAAAAUUAGCCUUUGGAUUAGUAGAGCACAGUUGAUAAAAGCACAGAAUAUUAGUCAGUGUCUGGUCCUUAUUAGCUUUGUGAUCUCGGGAAAGAUAUGCAGUCUCUCUGUGCACUGUUUUACUCAUCUGUAAAAUGAGAAUGAAUAAUUUUGCUUGUGUCUAAGGGUUGUUGUGAAGAUUGAGUGGGUCAGUAUAUGUAAAGCACUUAGAACAAUGUACAGUAUGUGCUGUGAACAUGUUAUCUCUAUUUUCUCUAUUUUAUUAAUAUCUUUCUUAAUCUUCAUUACAUCUUCUUACUUCUUUGGAUUUAUUCUUGUUUCUUAUCGAUUUUUCCCUAGCAAUUUUGGGAGUAUUUAGCUCACUUACUUAUAACCAUUCUUGUCAUCUGGUAAAUGAUUUUUAGGAUAUAUUAUGCUCCUCACAGUGCUUCCUUCUCUGGUUCCCAGACAUUUUGACAUGGGGUGCUUUUAUGCUCACUCAGCUGUAAUUUAGUACUUUUAUUUAUGAAUUUCUCUUUAACUCAAGUGCCACAUAGUUGUAUGGGGGGAGGCCACAGAUACUUGGGGUUUCUAUAAGACUUUACAUUUGGUCUUGAUUCUUAAUUUUAUUGAAUAAUAGUUGGAAAACUCUUCAAGAUAUCACUUCUUUGCAAUUUAUUGAGGCUUUUUGUGUGUGUGAAUCAGUAUUCGAUUGACUUCUGUGAAUGUUUCAUGCAUGCUUAGAAAAUAAAAAGUGUCUGCUCACUGUGUAUAAAGUUCACAAUAUAUCUUUUCAUUUAGUUAUUAUUUAUAAUAUAUACAAAUUUUUAAUUUGCUUCCUUAAGCUGUUGGUUUCUGGAACAUAAACUUUGAAGAUUUCUCCAGCUAUAGCCACUGAUUUAGUUAGUUAUCUUCAUGGUUCAUCAAUUGCUGUUAGAGAUUGUGUAUAUAUAUUUGUAUGUGGUAACAUAUUCAUUAUUAUCAAUCAAUUUGAUGUUUUGUUCCUAACAUAUAAGAUAAAAUUUUAUCUAUACUCAUUUUUUUGCUUUCAAUUCUAUUCAGUCAGAAAUUAAUGUGGCUAUAGCAUACUUCUUUCAGCCAUAUUUGCCUCAUGUGUUAUUUUUCACUCUUUUAUUUUUUCAUCUUGAGUGUGUUCAUUGUACAUAGAUGAUUAUGAAUUGGGGGAUAAAGGACACAUGCAUACUUGUUAAAAUAUGGGAUUGAUAAAUUGAUAAAUUUCAUAUUUAUUUAAUGAGAUAUCGAAACUUAAUUGAAUGAAGGUGGUGAAAACAACCAAGAACAGAAGGAUAUCUUUGCACAUCUGCUUAAUUGCUUUGUUUCAGUGUGAUGCACUGCUGCAGUGGACACUUUCCAUGAAGCUUGUGUCCUGCUAGAGUUGAGUAAAAUGGGGAUAUGGUUACUUCUAGGUGUACUGGUGAAGUGGGAACAGUAGGGAUAGUGUUUAUGCAUGAAGAGCCUUUGGAAUAGCCAUCUUGGCUCAGUUAUUCUCCAUUUUCCACACACUGCCCCCAGCACCUGCUCUGGGGAAAAUCCCUUGAUCCUUUUGAAUGCUAUUUUAUCCAUCUCAAAAGUUGAUUUUCCUGCUUGUCAAAUCAUGGGUGGUGAUGAGGUAGAAAUGUAAAGGAAGUAAGCAGCUACUGGGUCAGAUCCAAAGCACACUGACUGGAAACAACAGAUAUUCAUUUAGUUCACAAAUGUGUAGGUCAUCAAUCUAGUCCGGACAGCUCUCCCUCCUGCUCUAACCUGAAAUUACUUGUUAUCUGGGUAUAGUCCAUCUUAGGGUGACUUGUUGCAUUUGUGGGUCCUUUGGCUGCUGCCUGGAGGAACUUGACUUAGCCCCACUCUGAUAUUCCUCAAGCAGGCUAGCCUAGGCAUACUCUCAAAGGAAAGGCAGAGGUGCAAGAGUCAGGGCAAUUUCUAUACCCAAGCACUCUUCAAGUCUCUGCAUAAGUCAAGUUUGUUACUAUCCUUUGGCUAAGGCAAGUCUUGCAGUCAAGCCUACCACCAAAGUAAGGGUUAUGCAAAAUUAUAUAGAAAAGGAUGUGGAUAUAGGUAGGAAAAAGUGAGAAUAUGGACUUUGCAUGUUUAAAGUAAAACAAUCUUAAACUGAGUUAAAAGCCUUUGGUAAGAAAAUAUGGAAGUUCUUGUAGUGGCUCAGUGGUUAACGAACCCGACUAAUACCCAUGAGGACACGGGUUUGAUCCCAGGCCUUGCUCAGUGGGGUUAAGAAUCUGGCAUCGCUGUGAGCUGUGGUGUAGGUUGCAAAUGCAGCUUGGAUUUGGUGUUGCUGUGGCCGUGGAGUAGGCCGGCAGCUACAGCUCUGAUUCGACCCCUAGCCUGGGAACCUCCAUAUGCCACAGG